CGAGUUCUCUUACUCGGUUAGUCAAAUAAUUGUCAUUUUUAACUCGCCUGAGCCUAAUUAAAUCAAAACAUUCUUACAAUAAAUGAAAUGAAAAGGGGAUGGUUUUAAGCCUUUAACUCUUCCCUUGUUUGUUUGAAUACGAGUUUUCUUACUUGGUCAGUUAGACACUCGUCAUUUCUUUACAAACUUCUAAACCCAAUUAAAUCAAAACACUUUCAUAAUAAGCGAAAUAAAAAAAAGGAGAUGACUUUGAGCCUUCGACUUCUCUCCUC
Molecule: long non-coding RNA, 272 nt
Filed under: Lathyrus oleraceus (garden pea)
Lineage: Eukaryota; Viridiplantae; Streptophyta; Magnoliopsida; Fabales; Fabaceae
Description: Pisum sativum (pea) long non-coding RNA (PSAT_LNC030449)
Source: RNAcentral